UGCCUAGUUAAAUAAAUAAAUAAAAUGGAGAACCUAAGAAUGCAGAUUGAAGGUCGGUUGUUUCCACAAGAUGGCACUGUCUGCCAUGGACAUGGUCCUCAAAUGAAGGGUAGUCAGUUAUGAGCAAUGGCGUCGUCGUCAUUUUAGUUAUGCCUUGCAUGAUGAUAACAUUUUUAAGAGGUCAAAUUUACAUCAUUAUGGUGGUAAGUUACUCUGGUGUUUGAAUUAUGAACAUGCAAUGCUCCUCUUCAUUUAGGUGGUUCAAUGAAAUCCCUCAUAGUAAGCAUCGUUACUAAUUUUAUUCGGAAUUCAAAGUUACCAUGGUGCUUGUGUUAAUUAGCUCCAUAUUAAGUGGUGCAGUCUGAACUCUAGAUGAAAGAUGGAGCAGAGAGGACCCAGAGCACAGAGCAUCCCCUGAGCGGAGCAUAGAGGAGAUUCUCACCAGGAGGGAGAAGAGGAGAGCCGCCCUCAGCAGUGGAAGUGUUUUGAAAGAGGAAGAUGAUGACAAUCAACCAGAGAAUGAUAUACCGCCACAUUUCCUCACAAUUCCUGACCUCCCUCCCUCACUUCUGUCCCCUCCCCCUAGUGGAUGGAAAGUCUGGCUGAACUGAAUGGGGUUAAUUAAAGGAGAUUCACCAUUGUAUUUCUCAAAGUUACACUUGGUGAUGCAAGAACUGAUCAUUUCUUUUUAUUAGGCCUCAAAGUUUUACUUGAUGAAGAUUGGCUCUGAGGGAGAUGCCAGGACAGGGAUACUUUGCUGGUUGGUUGGCCAGCAGUGUGAGUACCUCCUCUACUCUGAAUAUUAUGGCCAUUCUGGCUGUAUUACAUCUCUGGGCUCUGUGAUUAAAAACUCACAUGGCCAAUUUUGAAGCAGGACUACAGUUACUGACUUGUCUCAAGGCCUUAGUAAGCCCCCACCGAGAGCCCUGAUAAGUUUCCCUGAACCAGGCAUAAAAUAACUCAACAUAAUUAAGUUGGUAUUUACACUUGUAGUUUUGCAUUUAUUCAAAGUAUUCACCAAAAUGUACUAUGUACAGUCAUUGUACCAAACAAAAUUCUAAGUAGAAAAGUUUGUAGCUAUUAAUAGUAGCUUUUUGCUACCAUCCAACCAUUAGUAUGCAGCUUGCAUUGGUUGAUUAAUUGCCGGUAUACUGUGCUCUUUAUAUCUGCUCUGCUUCUCUUUACCAUCCUCACUGCUCUUUAAGACCUUAACCACCUCCAAUGAGAAGUUGCUGUGCUGAAUACUGAGUCCAUUCCCUGCUGAAAUGUGACACAUUAACAACGGUCUCUCUCGGCUCCGCAAGAGAAUUACAAGCAGAGUCCCAAUGUACGAGUGGCACAGCGGUCUAAGGCAACGAAUCUCAGCGCAAGAGUUGUCACUACAGUCCCUGGUUCGAAUCCGGGCUGUAUCACCUCUGGCCAUGAUUGGGAGUCCCAUAGGGCGGCACACAAUUAGCCCAACGUCAUCCGGGUUUGGAAUGGGUAGGCCGUCAUUGUAAAUAAGA
Molecule: long non-coding RNA, 1505 nt
Organism: Salvelinus fontinalis (brook trout)
Lineage: Eukaryota; Metazoa; Chordata; Actinopteri; Salmoniformes; Salmonidae
Exons: 3
Source: RefSeq, a predicted model, not a curated record